This 468-nucleotide ribosomal RNA is filed under the name uncultured bacterium. Its description in RNAcentral is "partial 16S ribosomal RNA". It matches the Rfam family "Bacterial small subunit ribosomal RNA", at positions 28 to 507 of the family's 1533-position model. The record is from RNAcentral.
GAUGAACGCUGGCGGCGUGCUUAACACAUGCAAGUCGAACGGUGAAGGCGGAGCUUGCUCUGCUGGAUCAGUGGCGAACGGGUGAGUAACACGUGAGCAAUCUGCCCCUGACUCUGGGAUAAGCGCUGGAAACGGCGUCUAAUACUGGAUACGAGCUGCGAAGGCAUCUUCAGCAGCUGGAAAGAAUUUCGGUCAGGGAUGAGCUCGCGGCCUAUCAGCUUGUUGGUGAGGUAAUGGCUCACCAAGGCGUCGACGGGUAGCCGGCCUGAGAGGGUGACCGGCCAAAGUGGGAGGGAGACACGGCCAAGACUACUACGGGAGGCAGCAGUGGGGAAUGGUGGACAAUGGGCUGGGGGCUGACGAAGAAAAGCCGCGGGAGGGACGACGGCGUGCGGGUAGUAAAAGUAAUGGGGCCGGGAAGAAGCGAAAGGGACGGUACGUGAAGAAAAAGCGCCGGCUAACUACGUG